Molecule: long non-coding RNA, 915 nt
Organism: Oxyura jamaicensis (ruddy duck)
Lineage: Eukaryota; Metazoa; Chordata; Aves; Anseriformes; Anatidae
Exons: 2
Source: RefSeq, a predicted model, not a curated record
UCCAUUAAGUGGCGGCUAAUAGAAAGUCAACAAAAGAGCUCUGACAUGUGUAGUGGGCACUUCUGGCAGGCCAGGUUUGGGAGCACAGGUGUCUGAUGGGCUCCUGCCAAAGACCGGCAUACAAGACAUUGGGAGUUUUUCUUCAAGAGCAAACCGAGCUGCCCACCUUUUAAGACUGUCUCUUCUGCAACCAAAGAGACACUAUUAUGCUCAAAGCUAUAAAAUACCCUUCCUUUGUUACAGCUCCAGGAAGCUGCUGCUAGAGAUUAUUUGAACUACUAUAAACAACUCCAUUAAAGCUUCUGAGCUCACCAAUGACUCUUGUAAGGUCCUGGAUAAAAAGAUCAUUUUUUUUUCUCCUUUUUUGAGAAAAGGAAAGAGAGAGAGAGAGUCUGGCAAAAAUAUUGCAAGCUUCUAAUAAUAAAAUGACCUACAAAACCUGAAGGACAAAGCAUCCCUGAAUUGCUCAGGAAUGCAAAUUCUUUAAACAACAGCCACCACUGGAGAUUACGAAGCCUGGAGAUGCUGAGGUUCAGAAUCAAACCACCGUAGUCUUCAUCUCUUCAUUUAGAAAAGGGGCUUUUGAGGAUCAUGUCAAGUUGGAGUUCCAAUGUGAAAGAAAAGGACAAAGGUUGGAUCCCAUUUGGCACAUUUAUGGACACAAGAAAUUUGGGGGGCACUUGGAUUUGCACACACCAUCCCUUUUGAUGCCUACAUUCUGCAAGCACCUCCAUGUACAUUUUUUUACUGUGAUGUGAAAAAGAACACUUUUGUAAAUGGGAAGCAAUACUGCUGGCAUGAUACUUGACAGCAUCUGCUAAUCCAAAAGCAUUAAUGAAGUCAUUCAAAAUGCUCUCUCCCUUCCUAAUUCUCUCUUAAGCACACUUUCCAAGCUGCUUCAAGUUAUUGGUGUUA